RNAcentral lists this ribosomal RNA (119 nucleotides) under Chloroflexota bacterium. The record is from RNAcentral. Lineage: Bacteria; Bacillati; Chloroflexota.
GCCCGUGGCCGUGAGCGCGUCGGAACCACCCGGUCCCAUCCCGAACCCGGUCGUGACCCGGCGCAGCGCCGGAGAGUACUGUGGGGGCGACUCCAUGGGAGGCGAGGCCGUCGCGGGCA